RNAcentral lists this ribosomal RNA (234 nucleotides) under uncultured bacterium. RNAcentral describes it as "partial 16S ribosomal RNA". It matches the Rfam family "Bacterial small subunit ribosomal RNA", at positions 96 to 334 of the family's 1533-position model. The record is from RNAcentral.
UGGCGGACGGGUGAGUAAUGUCUGGGAAACUGCCUGAUGGAGGGGGAUAACUACUGGAAACGGUAGCUAAUACCGCAUAACGUCGCAAGGCCAAAGAGGGGACCUUCGGGCCUCUUGCCAUCGGAUGUGCCCAGAUGGGAUUAGCUAGUAGGUGGGGUAACGGCUCACCUAGGCGACGAUCCCUAGCUGGUCUGAGAGGAUGACCAGCCACACUGGAACUGAGACACGGUCCAG